GUGGGGAAUCUUGCGCAAUGGGCGAAAGCCUGACGCAGCCAUGCCGCGUGAAUGAUGAAGGUCUUAGGAUUGUAAAAUUCUUUCACCGGGGACGAUAAUGACGGUACCCGGAGAAGAAGCUCCGGCUAACUUCGUGCCAGCAGCCGCGGUAAUACGAAGGGGGCUAGCGUUGCUCGGAAUUACUGAGCGUAAAGGGCGCGUAGGCGGACAGCUUAGUCAGAGGUGAAAGCCCAGGGCUCAACCUUGGAAUUGCCUUUGAUACUGGCUGUCUUGAGUUUGGGAGAGGUGAGUGGAACUCCGAGUGUAGAGGUGAAAUUCGUAGAUAUUCGGAAGAACACCAGUGGCGAAGGCGACUCACUGGCCCAAUACUGACGCUGAGGCGCGAAAGCGUGGGGAGCAAACAGGAUUAGAAACCCCAGUAGUCC
Molecule: ribosomal RNA, 425 nt
Filed under: uncultured bacterium
Lineage: Bacteria
Description: partial 16S ribosomal RNA
Rfam family: Bacterial small subunit ribosomal RNA
Source: RNAcentral